This 68-nucleotide small nuclear RNA is filed under the name Fukomys damarensis (Damara mole-rat). The record is from RNAcentral. Lineage: Eukaryota; Metazoa; Chordata; Mammalia; Rodentia; Bathyergidae.
GUCUUGGUUCUCAGCACAUAUACUUAAGUUGGAAAGAUACAGAGAAGAUUAGCAUGGCCACUGCACAA